UUCCUUUGAGUUUCUCUGGAGCACAAGUUCGCUCCAAUAAACCUUGUUUACUGAAGGAACCCUGCAUAGUCCUUAGCUCCGUGACAAUAUGUACUCGCUAUAGUUGUCAUGCGUAAGGGACGACAUGCGUAAGAACGACGACGAUGAAGAACACGCAGUGUUCCAAAUAGCACGAGCGCUCGAGGCGCGUGACCUGAGCCGUGAAAGAAGGAAAAGGAAUCGCUGAGCUGGCAUUGUCUGCGUGGCUCCGGUCUGAGAAGGUUGCCUCCGCAGCCACGCACUGGUGAUGUGAGCAGCGGGUGUUCGGCUCCGGACGCCAUGACGCUGGCAGUCCAAGGCGUGGCCGUCGACCUCGGCGACGUUCGAGCGAGGCUCCUCGGGCUUGCUGCAGCCUCUCACGGUAGUUCCGGGUACCCCAGCAGCAAUCCCCCUUCGAAGGCAGGCCAGCGGCGGCACGCAAGACAGUCGCCGGGGCACUUCGUUGUCAAUUCAGCAAGGCACUGGACGGAAGCGGCGGCCGAAUCCGUCACUAGGCCUAACUUGCCGAGCCGCAAUGCCACGUCAUCGACAACGACCGGGAUACUCGGGCUGCUACAUCAGCGACAACUUCGACAAGAGCGUCGGGUGCAAUGCCUCUGGACGAGACACGACUUUGGCGGGGAGACCGAAAGAGUCGACGACGAAAACACCACUACCAGCGCACCCACUCUUUCCGCCGUUCUUAGCUACGGCUGCAAAAGAGAAUAUUGGAUGCUCGGCUUGGGUAUCCGUGCAGCGGUAAGGUGGGCGCUGACCGACCACACGGCCCAUUGGUACAGGGGUCACGUGGACGUGGUGCCUCUACAGUAGCACCAAGUGUACCUGUUUCUGUACACCUAUGUCCACUGGGGCGGCCACGCCUUCAGCGUCUUGUUGACGGUGCUGUCUGCAGUUAGCCGCUACGACCAUGCCAUGGCUCAUGGGGCAGUGGCCGGCAUCAUCAUCGUCGGCACUGGCAGCAUCUUGACCACCACCCUUCUGAAGACGAAGUUUGACAUGCUCCCCCAGACGGUAAGGUCAGCGGCCCUGCAAUUCCUCAUGUGCCUUUACAUACAUGGUGUACGACCUUGUCGCUUGCAUCGUUGGAUGCAUCAAGGACUCGGUUAGGCCGGACAUCAUGUUGAUGUAGGAUACCGAUCCUUCCAACCAUCUCAUCAACAUUGAGCUGCUGUGGAGAGAGCGAGUGGUGGACCAGAGCCCUUGCGGUGCGAUUCGUGCACAGAAUGAUCCUGCUCUAUUGGACCGCGAAUACCAUGGAAUCAGAGGUGGAUAACGUUCCGAUUGCAGACAGGAACACCUUUCUGUGGUUCUGCCUGUACCUUCGCUUUGCGGACAUUAUAUACAGCCUUGUAUUGAUAUCUUUAGUCCCAUUCGGACCAUAUGAUUACCCUGUACUACAUGGUUGCCUGGCUGCGGUUGUUAUCCUUGGAACGUUGAGCGUAAUCGUGGCCGGCUAUUACGUGAGACGAAAACUGCAACCGGCAGCAACAAGCUUGAUGACAAUGGUACUGAGGCAAAUUACACUAGCAUAUACAGGAGCCGCAAUCGGGGCAAUAACAAUGGGAGCAAUGAAGGACAUGCUCAGCCCCGACAUACAGAUCAUGUAGGAGACCGAUCCUUCCAACCAUCUCGUCAACUUUGAGCUGCUGCGGAGAGAGCGAGUGGUGGACCAGAGCCCUUGCGGUGCGAUUUGUGCUCAGAACGAUCCUGUCCUAUUGGACAGGGAAUACCAUGGAAUCAGAGGUGGAUAACGUGCCCAUUGCCGACUGGAACGCCUUUCUGUGGGUUUGCCUGUACCUUCGUUUUGCUGUCGACAUAUACAGCCUUAUAUUGAUAUUUUUAGUCCCAUUCAAACCGUACGAUUACCCGCGCCUACAAAAU
Long non-coding RNA from Dermacentor silvarum, 1920 nucleotides. RefSeq lists it as uncharacterized. The transcript is spliced from 6 exons. NCBI's taxonomy places the organism in Eukaryota, Metazoa, Arthropoda, Arachnida, Ixodida, Ixodidae. The record is from RefSeq and is a predicted model, not a curated record.